UACGAAGGGGGCUAGCGUUGUUCGGAAUUACUGGGCGUAAAGCGCACGUAGGCGGGUCGUUUAAGUCAGGGGUGAAAUCCCGGAGCUCAACUCCGGAACUGCCUUUGAUACUGGCGAUCUUGAGAUCGGAAGAGGUGAGUGGAAUUCCCAGUGUAGAGGUGAAAUUCGUAGAUAUUGGGAAGAACACCAGUGGCGAAGGCGGCUCACUGGUCCGAUACUGACGCUGAGGUGCGAAAGCGUGGGGAGCAAACAGG
Molecule: ribosomal RNA, 254 nt
Filed under: uncultured bacterium
Lineage: Bacteria
Description: partial 16S ribosomal RNA
Rfam family: Bacterial small subunit ribosomal RNA
Source: RNAcentral